CAUUUUUGUUGCCAUUGAACACUAUAGAUCAUUAGUUCAGAGGAGGCUCGUGAUGGCACACAACAAUGAAGGGGACGAGAUAAAAUAGGAGGAUGUCCGAGGAGCAGGGCCAAGACUAAACAAAGAACGAAGAAUGCCUUUUCAUUUCAUGAUCAUAAAACACUACUAAGCUUAUUUUUCAUAUGGCAACUGUCGGAGCUAAGAGGCAGCCCCCGAAGCACCAACACGCCACCACCUGGUCUGCCAUCUCCCAAGAUAUGGAUGUAACUCGAUCCACUGUGUCCGAUCAUAAGGUGAUAAUGGCGACACA
This is a long non-coding RNA of Triticum aestivum (bread wheat), 310 nucleotides long. RefSeq lists it as uncharacterized. The record is from RefSeq and is a predicted model, not a curated record. NCBI's taxonomy places the organism in Eukaryota, Viridiplantae, Streptophyta, Magnoliopsida, Poales, Poaceae. The transcript is spliced from 3 exons.